CCAUAUUACCAUAACAGUAUAUACCUGAAGGUGAGUUAAAAGCAGUUACAGUAGACUGAUAUAAAACAAAAACGUUCUAAAUGAGCUGGGUAAGAGCAAGACACAUCUAAUUAAAUGUUCAUUCACAACGUGAAUGUCAGAAUAACCAUACCACAUGUGCCAAAAGUAAUUUUCUAGGUUUUUCCACCAAAACAUUAGAUAGAUAAUUAAUCAAAUCCAAC
Molecule: long non-coding RNA, 221 nt
Filed under: Elaeis guineensis (African oil palm)
Lineage: Eukaryota; Viridiplantae; Streptophyta; Magnoliopsida; Arecales; Arecaceae
Description: long non-coding RNA (EGUI_LNC006783)
Source: RNAcentral